AUCUUCUCGAUCUUUUUGGUCUCUGAGAAAGUCGACUGCUCCUGUCUGCUGCGAACUUGGGAGGAGAUUGGCAUUUCAAUCCAACCUGCACGAUUUUAGGUAAGACCCCUCAUUUGCAAUAAACCUGUGUCAUUUUUGCUGUUGGUAUCGGUUCAAUAUCAAGUAUCAUAAUCAUCAGUUUCAUGUAGUCGUUCAUCUAGUUACCUGGAUAAUUUGAGAGAUCUCCUUUUGGGGAUGGAUGAAUAUCCUCUGUUUGAGAAUGAUCAUAAUCAUCAGUUUCAUGCAGUCGUUCAUCUAGUUAGCCUCUAUUUUUUCCGUGAGAGUUGAACUUUAAAACUUCUACCUACCUUUCUAUGGGAAUGUCAUCAUUCUCUUUAGUAAAGCCUUCAGUUUUGAGGAACGUUACUGAGUCUUGGGAGUGCCCUAAAUUGUAAGGGGUGAUCCACGAGGAAAUUUCCUUACUAUGUCCUUGCCCAUAUAGGUUUAUGGUUUCCAAAAAGCUUUCAUCCAAAUCUUUUGAAACUUUGAGAGUUUUAUUGCAUAUUGUUCGAAAUAAGAUUGGGUUGUAUAUGUCACGAGCGUCAGAGUUUCUCAGAUUUAUUUUGUGACAAGCAGCUCACGCCAUCCAUGUAUGUUAUAGCUGUUGUUGUUUUUCUACUUGAUCAUAAAUGAAUGACCUCAUUUCGUUUUUGUUUCUUAAAUCAUCCCCAUUUUACUCCAAGCUGUGACCAUGGAUAUUGUCGGGGCUACUGUUGGGGUGCUAAAUUUAUCGUGGGGGUCCCUUGGCAGACAGGUCUCUUAUCUGCAAAAUGUUGAGAAACUUCUGAAGGCACUUCAUGUCAGUAUAGAAGACCUAAAUGGUCGAGCAAAUGACAUCAAAAUGGAGAUGAAUACGGGUAUAGCAUACUUGAAUAAGAAACCAAGAAGUGAGGUACAGUCGUGGCUCAAACAUGUGGAAAAGUUAAAUGAUGAAGUGAGUAUCUUAGAAAAUGAAAUCGGCAUUAGGGGAAAAUGGUUGAAAGGGUGUUUUCCUAAUUGCUGUUCACGUCAUAAGUUCGGAAAACAACUUGUGCAAAAGAUCAAAGACUUGACUGAGCUUCAAGGAAUGGGAACAUUUCCGAAUGGCUUAUUCAUUAAUUUAUUGCCUGAUGCAGGAAGACUUAUGCCAACAACAGGGAUUAUAGGCGAAACAAUCCCAAGGAAGGUUCUGCAUGAGAUUUGGGAAUGUCUGAUGGAUGUCAAUAUCAAUAAGAUAGGUGUCUAUGGUAUGGGUGGUGUUGGAAAGACAACUAUCAUGAUGCACAUUAAUAAUCUACUCCAUGAAGCUCAGAUGUUUGAUAAUGUUAUUUGGGUGACUGCAUCAAAAACCUUUGACUUGACGAAAUUACAGAUUGACAUAGCAAAAGCAGUAAACUUGGAGCUGGCAUUUGGAUUUGAAGACAAUAUGAUUAGAAGAUCAACUGUAUUAUUUGAGCAUCUGCAGAGAAUGAAAAAAUUUACACUAAUCAUAGACGAGUUAUGGAGUAAGUUCACCUUGGAAGAGGUGGGAAUCCCGCAACCAAAUAAAGAGAAUGGUUGUAAAUUGGUAUUCAUUACUCGACUAAUGGGAGUAUGUCGGGGCAUGGAGACACACAAGGAAAUCAAAGUGGAUGUCCUCUCUGAGGCGGAAGCACGGAAUUUGUUUGCUAAUAAAGCAGGAAUGGAUGAGUUUAAUUCAGAUGAAAUAGUUUCCACUGCAAAGCUAAUUGUUGAAGAAUGUGGCGGUUUGCCACUUGCAGUUGUCACUGUGGGACGAGCCAUGAGGAAAACCAAUGAUGUAAGAGUUUGGAAGAAUGCACUGGAAGAGCUGAAAAGCUCGAGGGCAGAAAUUGAAGGCAUGGAAGGCGAUGUUUUUGCACGCCUGAAAUUUAGCUAUAACCACUUGAAAAGUGACAGAGUCCGGGCUUGCUUUUUGUACUGUGCAUUGUAUCCUGAGAAUUACGAAAUUGAUGUUGAGGAGCUGGUCGAGUACUGGAUGGCAGAAGGUUUAAUAGAUGAAGUCUGGGAUAGGGAGCAUGAGAUCAACAAAGGCCAUGCAUUGCUUAAGGAACUCAAAGAUGCUUGCCUGCUGGAGGAUAUUCGAACAGGGUAUGUGAGAAUGCACAAUUUGGUGAGGGAUUUAGCAAUUAGAAUGGCGAGGGAGAAUCCUCGGUUCCUGAUCAAAGCUGGUGUUGGUUUGAAAACAUUGCCAAGAACAUGGGUGGAAGAUGCAGAGAGGGUCUCCCUAAUGGCUAACAACAUUGAAGUUCUUCCAGAUCAUCCCGCUAGCAUGAAUUUAACAACUUUGCUCCUGCAACAGAACCCCCGCUUGAAGAGUAUCCCAGAUUUAUUCUUUCGGAGCAUGCAUAACCUUAGAGUACUUGACCUGUCCGGUUCUUCAAUUAAGUCACUCCCAGAUACUCUUUCCUGUUUACAGAAUCUCCGUGCACUCCUGUUACGUCUUUGUGAGCUUGAAGAGUUACCAUCACUAGCAACACUGAAAGAGCUAAGGGUGUUGGACCUUUCAUAUACAUUAAUCCAAGGGUUACCACAUGGAAUUGAAGGCUUGGUAAAUCUCAGGCGACUUGAUCUUUCUUAUACUGAACAAUUAAGCAUGUUUCCUGCUAGGGCCAUCCCAAACCUGUCGCGCCUAGAAAAUCUAUCAAUGUUUCACAGCAAAUGGAGAUGGUCAGUGACUCCGCACGGAAAAGAGAGAGGAACAGAUUUUGCAGAAAUCACCAACUCCUCACACCUAACUAAUCUUGGUCUUUCCUUCGAGAAUGCAUACAGUUUCAACCACUAUGUGAGAUCUGGACACUGGAGGGUUCUGAAAGGCUACCACAUUGGUAUAGGACUUUUGUCAAGCCUUUUACCUAUUUCUGAAGGAACUUGUAGUGUAGAAGUUCAAGGCUGUAACCUCAUUACCAAUGGGAGUUUAAUCAAGCUCCCAGACAGCACUCAGGAGUUGGCAUUACAGGGCUGUCACGACAUUGAUAUUCUAUCCAAACUGACUAGCAUAUCAAACUUGAAAAAUCUGAAAGACUGUUACGUCUCCAGUUGUAACAGGUUAGAGUUCUUAAUAGUGGAAGAUAAAGACUAUUUUCCAAACCUGGAGAAAUUGACCCUCCGCAAGCUGCUUAACUUAAAGGCAAUUUGUAAUGGAACUGGGGCAGAUAGUGUAUUUUCAAAGCUAAAAGCCGUGCAUAUCCACAACUGUAACAAACUUAGAUACAUAUUUACAUUUGGGUUGUUACGGUGCCUCCAAAAUCUUGAAGAGCUUGAGGUGUGGAAUUGUCAUUCAGUCGAGGACAUAAUUGAAGUGGAGGAAACUAUUGGAGUAAAUGGUAACACAUUUCCUUCAAUAACAAUUCCAAGGCUACGUGUGCUGUACUUAUCCUAUUUACCUGAAUUGAAAUCCAUCUCUAAAGGGGUAUUAAUUUGCAAUUCAUUGGAUUCUAUUGAUUUAUGGGGCUGUGAGAAGCUAAGGAAACUGCCUUUCUCAAUGGACAAGUUGCCUUUCUCCCUCAAGCACCUCAAGGGAAACAGAAAGUGGUGGGAAAAGUUCUACUGGGAUGAGCCUGGUUGUAAGAGUCUUUUACAACCCUUCUUUGAGGGAGAAAAAUGAAAAGAAAAGCAUUAAAUAUGGACCAUGUAGCUGGUGCAGGGCAAGUCCUAUUGAUUGGUGAUUAAAAUUUCAUCUGACAUUGAACUGCCUCUUGAUAAGGAUUCAUCAGCAAGAUAUUCAACAUGUUCAACUUCAAGUUCAGGGAAUCGAGAAAACACUAGUUUUUCAUCUGGAAUUUUUGUACCGAUUCACAAGCCAUCACAUCUUUGGGAUUUUGGUGUAUUUUAAACUUUGCAAAAAGUUUCAUUAAACAUUGAAUUGAGGUUGAUUCAUGGAGAAAUUGCAGCAUUGUGAAUCUCUCAAAAUGCUGGAGUUCAGACUUCCAGAUAUUGGCUUGUUGCUUCACAAAGAGGAGACCUCACAGUAAUCUUGUUAGAUCACUCUCAUCGUGACCUUUUUAUCAAAAGCAAGAAGGGCAGCAGUGUACGAUUUUUACUACCGAGUCAGGGCUUGAGUGGUCAGUAGGCAAACAAUCUCGUGCUGAUUGUUGGGUUACAGGGAUGGUAUGGAGGGUUAUGGAACCACACUGGUGUCUGUUCAAAGGUGAACAUGUGAUGCUUUACCUCGUUUGUGGAAUCAAGAUUCCUUCUCUUAUUCGGAUGUUUGAGCAGAGUUACUUGGGCUUCAUUUUGUUUUGAGUCCUUUGAUAAUAUAGUUUCGCUAUGUUUUAAUU
This is an RNA transcript of Juglans microcarpa x Juglans regia, 4316 nucleotides long. It is a transcript of the gene named probable disease resistance protein At4g27220, with no coding region annotated. The record is from RefSeq and is a predicted model, not a curated record. NCBI's taxonomy places the organism in Eukaryota, Viridiplantae, Streptophyta, Magnoliopsida, Fagales, Juglandaceae. The transcript is spliced from 2 exons.